CCUACGGGGGGCAGCAGUGGGGAAUAUUGCGCAAUGGGCGAAAGCCUGACGCAGCGACGCCGCGUGAGGGAUGAAGGUCUUCGGAUCGUAAACCUCUUUCAGCAGGGAAGAACGGUCACUGUGCUAAUCAGCAGUGAAUUGGCGGGACCUGCAAAGGAAGCACCGGCUAACUCCGUGCCAGCCGCCGCGGUAAUACGGAGGGGGCGAGCGUUAAUCGGAAUUACUUGGCGUAAAGGGCUCGUAGGCGGUACGUAAAGUCAAGGGUGAAAUCCCCGCGCUCAACGUGGGAACUGCCUUUGAAACUGGCAAACUGGAGUGUGUGAGAGGAUAGUGGAAUUCCAGGUGUAGGAGUGAAAUCCGUAGAUAUCUGGAGGAACAUCAGUGGCGAAGGCGACUAUCUGGCACAUAACUGACGCUGAGGAGCGAAAGCGUGGGUAGCAAACAGGAUUAGAUACCCUUGUAGUC
Molecule: ribosomal RNA, 465 nt
Filed under: uncultured bacterium
Lineage: Bacteria
Description: partial 16S ribosomal RNA
Rfam family: Bacterial small subunit ribosomal RNA
Source: RNAcentral